Molecule: long non-coding RNA, 372 nt
Filed under: Pogona vitticeps (central bearded dragon)
Lineage: Eukaryota; Metazoa; Chordata; Lepidosauria; Squamata; Agamidae
Description: lncRNA (ENSPVIG00000001141.1)
Source: RNAcentral
CUAUCACUCCCAGUACUAGCCGCAGCCAUCACCAUACUACUAACAGACCGAAACCUAAACACCACCUUCUUUGACCCAAAUGGAGGAGGAGACCCAAUCCUAUUCCAACACUUAUUCUGAUUCUUUGGCCACCCGGAAGUCUACAUUCUUAUCCUACCCGGAUUUGGAAUAAUCUCACACAUUGUUACCCAUCACUCCAGCAAAAAAGAACCCUUCGGCUAUAUAAGCAUAGUUUGAGCACAUCACAUGUUCACAGUAGGACUAGACGUCGACACCCGUGCCUACUUCUCAGCAGCCACCAUAACCAUUAUAUUAUCAAUUAUAUCCCUAGUCAGCGCUCUCACCAUAAUCGUAAUUUUAUGAGAAGCAUUC